RNAcentral lists this transfer-messenger RNA (350 nucleotides) under Alphaproteobacteria bacterium. It matches the Rfam family "Alphaproteobacteria transfer-messenger RNA". Rfam says of the family: Bacterial tmRNA, also known as 10Sa RNA or SsrA, is named for its dual tRNA and mRNA-like properties. The record is from RNAcentral. Lineage: Bacteria; Pseudomonadati; Pseudomonadota; Alphaproteobacteria.
UUCCUUGAAGGGAACUUAAAUUUGUGUUACAAUGCCUGUGCUCGCAAGAGAUAUGACAAUAAACAUUCUCUCAUAAUAGACAUAUUGGACUCGGGGGCGGUACCCGACAUCUCCACCUAGAAAAAUUCAUUAUAAAGUUUUUCUUGUUGGGGAUGAAACAGGAUCGACAAGUGCAGUAAAAGUUUGAAUUUUGUCCGGUAUUAUACCACCGCAAAGGGUUAAAACUACAAAUGCAAACGACAAUUUUGCUUUUGCUGAUCUUAAAUUAGCUGCUUAAGUCCUCAGGGAUUUUAGCUGAUUUUUGAUUGCGGGGUUUGGCAGCGUUUUCCUAGCAACAGAAAAAUGCUGAU